RNAcentral lists this long non-coding RNA (1608 nucleotides) under Gossypium barbadense (sea-island cotton). Its description in RNAcentral is "long non-coding RNA (GBAR_LNC004082)". The record is from RNAcentral. Lineage: Eukaryota; Viridiplantae; Streptophyta; Magnoliopsida; Malvales; Malvaceae.
GAAAAUUGGAUUCUGUUGGUUUUCUUGAUUACUAUUUGUAUAUAUUAAUUAUACAUAAUAUGUGCUGGCUAUCUUCUGUUACGUCUCUUACAAUUAUUCGAGUAUACUAAUGGCUUUCGAUAUUUACAAUAUUAUUUGGUUUCGAUAAUUCACUAUAAUUCUUUUAAAUUCAACAAUCAACCUCUAUAUUUAUACUUUUAUCAACCUUAUGAAUUUCACAUGCCAUAGCUAAUAUUUGUUACACUAAAAGAAUGUUAUAGUAAAAGAAGUUAGAAUGCUAUAUAAAGCCUUUACAAUAGUUGUAAACGGGCUAAUUUGCCCGAGUCAACCAAAAUACAAAAUAAAUGUAAAAUCCAAAAAAAAAAUAUAAAACAAAAUAAAUACUGUCCAAAUUACAGCCCAGAUCACUUGGCCCAAUUUCACAAAUGAUCCAACAAAGAAAUAGGCCCAGAUGGCCCAAAAGUUAAAACACUACAGAAACCCUAGGGCUUCUCCCACUUUGCGCCGCAGCCGAGCCCCAGCCUCCAUGUGCCUUCAGCAUCGUACGACCGCCACGCGCGCUUCCGUACGCCUCACGCCAAGUCCCAACACAUGCCCCGUAACCCGUAACUUUAAACGAACAAAAGAACGACAGCAAAAAGCAAGAAAAAUAUUGUAUUUUUAUAUUUAUUUUUCUUUUAGAUUUCGGCUAUAAAGCAAGACAAACAAUGUAUUGAUUUUUUUUACGCAUAAAAAACACGCAAUAGAAGGUAAUCAAAUAUAAAAAAAAAAUAGAGAAAGAUGAUUUUUUGCUUUCGAUUUCUAUACUCUUUUUCUUUUACUUCUUUCUUUUUACUGGCAUUUACUCAAAUCCUUCAUCAUUGCAUUUAGAAAAAUAAAAGAAAAGGGAUAAGAUAAACUUUACCUUGCAAAUAUGCCGUAGAUCUCUUUUGGCUUCGUCGAAAUCGAACUCAAAAUGAAAUUUCGAGGCUAAAAAAUGUCCCUCAAGGCAUGAAGGUACUGAUCGCCAUUUAGGGAGGUGAAUCGGUGCUUAAAAGGAGGGCUAGAGUUCAGCUGAAGAGAAUGAAAUGGGGAAGCUAGAGUUGUUUUCAUGGUUCGGCUGAAUGAAGGCCUCAUUUGGCUUCUAUAAAGAAGCAAAAACGGUGCCAUUUAAACCAUCUUCAAUGGUUUAAAAAGACGUCGUCUGGAGCCAGCCCGACUUGAUCCGGUCCGUCGCCCCUGGAACCUGUGCGUUUUUACGGUGAGGGGAUAUUUACACGAUAGGUCCUCCCCUUUCGCGUGUGCAUUCAAUCGCACCUUAUCUGUUUUGCUUUUUUUUCUUAAAUUAGUUCUUUAAUUUGUACGCAUUUUCAUUUUAGUCCGAUGUACAGCGCAGCGUUUUGGUCUAGGGGAUAUUUCUAUUUCUAGCCCCCAUAUAUUUGCGCGGAUUACUUAUUGAUCCAAUUUUUGAUUAUUUUAUUUAUAAAUUAUUCCUCUUAUUUUAAUUCAGUUUUAAUUUAGUUUUCUAUUUGUAUAACUUACCAUUUUAACAUAUUUAAUAUUUCUAUGCUGAUCUGUUUUAAUCAUUUUGUUUGGUUCUAUUUGUACAAUUGUUUUUGAAGAUUAUUU